RNAcentral lists this ribosomal RNA (496 nucleotides) under uncultured bacterium. Its description in RNAcentral is "partial 16S ribosomal RNA". It matches the Rfam family "Bacterial small subunit ribosomal RNA", at positions 28 to 506 of the family's 1533-position model. The record is from RNAcentral.
GAUGAACGCUGGCGGCGUGCCUAAUACAUGCAAGUCGAGCGAACAGACGAGGAGCUUGCUCCUCUGACGUUAGCGGCGGACGGGUGAGUAACACGUGGAUAACCUACCUAUAAGACUGGGAUAACUUCGGGAAACCGGAGCUAAUACCGGAUAAUAUAUUGAACCGCAUGGUUCAAUAGUGAAAGACGGUUUUGCUGUCACUUAUAGAUGGAUCCGCGCCGCAUUAGCUAGUUGGUAAGGUAACGGCUUACCAAGGCAACGAUGCGUAGCCGACCUGAGAGGGUGAUCGGCCACACUGGAACUGAGACACGGUCCAGACUCCGACGGGAGGCAGCAGUAGGGAAUCUUCCGCAAUGGGCGAAAGCCUGACGGAGCAACGCCGCGUGAGUGAUGAAGGUCUUCGGAUCGUAAAACUCUGUUAUGAGGGAAGAACAAAUGUGUAAGUAACUAUGCACGUCUUGACGGUACCUAAUCAGAAAGCCACGGCUAACUACGU